Molecule: ribosomal RNA, 209 nt
Filed under: Clostridioides difficile
Lineage: Bacteria; Bacillati; Bacillota; Clostridia; Peptostreptococcales; Peptostreptococcaceae
Description: partial 16S ribosomal RNA
Rfam family: Bacterial small subunit ribosomal RNA
Source: RNAcentral
UUGAGCGAUUUACUUCGGUAAAGAGCGGCGGACGGGUGAGUAACGCGUGGGUAACCUACCCUGUACACACGGAUAACAUACUGAAAGGUAUGCUAAUACGGGAUAAUAUAUUUGAGAGGCAUCUCUUAAAUAUCAAAGGUGAGCCAGUACAGGAUGGACCCGCGUCUGAUUAGCUAGUUGGUAAGGUAACGGCUUACCAAGGCGACGAU